AGACCAGGCAGUGAUAGAAGAACUGGGGGAAGAGAUAAUUGUAUUUAUCUUGGUGAGGGUGACAAAUCAUGGCAAAUGAGCAAAAUGAAAAAGGAUACAAGACACCGGACUUUCAAAUCAACAAUUGUUUCAAAAGACUCCUACUGGAUUCCUGCUAGUGAUGGGAGAAAAUUAUCAUUCUGUGAGUUGUCAAUAAAUGUUUAACCACAGUUCACCUUUUUUGGAUUUUAAGAUGUCUGCGCCACUAGGACGCUCAGAAAAAUUACCCUCCAAAUGCUACUUGGAGGAGGAUUCAGUACCACCCUGAGAAGGCAACCAGCUACAACCUUGGUUGUAGUUUCGGUUGCAGAAAGAGCGUGAAGUGUGCAACUCAUGUCUGUCUUCAUUUUAAUAGGCUAGUUAAUCUGUAGCCAGAGAUGAUUAAGGAGGUCAUUAAAGGAAAACAAGCUGCCCACCAUGCUGAUGCCUGGUUGUUCAGAUCGUUGAGGUGGUGUAGAGAUGACGCACACUGGCUCAGUUUACCCACAUUUGGAUCUACGGACCUGCAAGUCCUCUGUCAUGACACACCAGCCCUGGGAUAUCACAUAAGCUACAGGUCAGACGCUGCUUUCCAGACAGAAUUAUGGAGAAGACAACCAUCAUUUUGGAGCUAUAGAUAGUGGAUUUCAAGAGAGUACCAAGGUUGCUACUCCAUAAUGGCCAGAAGAGCAAGCCAAAAACAUCAGAGUAAACACAGAAACCUCACAUCUCAGGGAGGUUUGCUUAACAAACAUAUCAAGACCUGGGAUACCUGGAAAACUGCAGGCCCUGCUGGAAAUUUUCCAUGCUCUUCAUUCGUUCUCCUGUAUUUCCUAACGCCAAUAAAAGAGGAGAUCCCUGAGGACACGCCUCUCUUUAAUAUCUGCUUUCCUUGCAAAGAUAAGCCAAAGACCAAUGUAUGUCGUAUCUGCCCCCUUCAGCCUUUGGGACACAAUUUUGAUAAACCUUCCUCUAUUUCACAUUAACAGAAAAUGUCACUUCUCCCUUCCUAAUCUCCAAUGCAAACCUAACAUUUUAGCCCAACGUUUCUCAUGCUUGCACAAGCCAGCUUUUAAAUUCUGCUCAAUUCCAAUUUAAGAGUAGGCAUUGUGCUAGACAUUUAUAGCCCAAGAUCUGUAAGCAAAUAUAAUUCUGUGGACUAAGAAAGCUAACAUUUAAAGAACGGAAAGAGUUUUUUAUUUAAAAAAAAAACGCGAAUCACUAUCACUGCCUUUAUUAAUUCUCUAAGUACAAGCUGUUGUAAAUCUUCUCAGUGUUAGAUCCCACUGGAGAGUGAUUCAUCAUAUUGCACAUAAGCUCACUCCAGGCUGAAAUCAUAUCUAUAACGCAAGGGUGAUUAUGGUUGAACACUGGGCACCAAGAGGCUCUCUAGGAGUGCAGAAUGGAAUAUGGAAAAAGCACAU
This 1442-nucleotide long non-coding RNA is filed under the name Homo sapiens (human). RNAcentral's name for it is "HSALNT0371264". Lineage: Eukaryota; Metazoa; Chordata; Mammalia; Primates; Hominidae. The record is from RNAcentral.